Molecule: transfer RNA, 74 nt
Organism: Toxoplasma gondii VEG
Lineage: Eukaryota; Apicomplexa; Conoidasida; Eucoccidiorida; Sarcocystidae
Rfam family: tRNA
About the family: Transfer RNA (tRNA) molecules are approximately 80 nucleotides in length. Their secondary structure includes four short double-helical elements and three loops (D, anti-codon, and T loops). Further hydrogen bonds mediate the characteristic L-shaped molecular structure. tRNAs have two regions of fundamental functional importance: the anti-codon, which is responsible for specific mRNA codon recognition, and the 3' end, to which the tRNAs corresponding amino acid is attached (by aminoacyl-tRNA synthetases). tRNAs cope with the degeneracy of the genetic code in two manners: having more than one tRNA (with a specific anti-codon) for a particular amino acid; and 'wobble' base-pairing, i.e. permitting non-standard base-pairing at the 3rd anti-codon position.
Source: Rfam
GGAAUUAUAGUUUAAUUGGUUAAAAUUUUAUCUUGUCAUGAUAAUAGAUGUGAGUUCAAAUCUCAUUAAUUCCG